RNAcentral lists this microRNA precursor (200 nucleotides) under Solanum lycopersicum (tomato). RNAcentral describes it as "MIR159 microRNA precursor family". It matches the Rfam family "MIR159 microRNA precursor family". RNAcentral also lists the same sequence under 1 other name. The record is from Rfam by way of RNAcentral. Lineage: Eukaryota; Viridiplantae; Streptophyta; Magnoliopsida; Solanales; Solanaceae.
GUUAUGGGAGUGGAGCUCCUUGAAGUCCAACAGAAGAUCUAACAGGUUAGAUUGAGCUGCUGACCUAUGGAUUCCUCAGCCCUAUCUAUUUAUGAUUUCAAACAUAUAGAUAGGUUUGUGGGUUUGCAUAUGUCAGGAGCUUUAUUUUACCCUUUGUUUGAUCAUUUUUUGGAUUGAAGGGAGCUCUACAUUCAUUUCUU